Long non-coding RNA from Scylla paramamosain (green mud crab), 449 nucleotides. RefSeq lists it as uncharacterized. The record is from RefSeq and is a predicted model, not a curated record. The transcript is spliced from 3 exons. Lineage: Eukaryota; Metazoa; Arthropoda; Malacostraca; Decapoda; Portunidae.
AGGGGGAGAUAAGACCGUCGUUUUGAAGUGUCUCGAUUGACUUAUUUUUUAUCCCCUCUGAUUUUGUGGAGUCUCUUCUGUCUGGUGAGUAACAGCACCCGCAACUCCCAGGGGCUCCGAUUCCUGCCCUGUCCAGCCCUGCCCCGCGUCAGUUGAAGGUACAAGACCAUCACGCUCCGCGACGAGGGGUACUGCCGCGGUGGAGGUCAGACCACGACUGGUCACAAAGGCAGUGACAGUUGGCCAGGACAAGGGAUGUGAGUGGCAAGAGGUCUUGAGAUACAGCGGAAGACAAAAGGAGAAAAUAACGAGUCUGCCUGCGGAGGGGCCAGCCAAGAGAACAAUGACGCCCCGAGAGAGCCGAAGCAGCUUCCCUUUCGACUGACGGUUCUUCAAACGCCUAUCUCUGGCUGCUAGAGAGGAACGCCGGCAGGGGCAGACUGUUGUGG